AUGGCGCGAUGCACUGUGACUUCUUCCUCUUCAAGUUGUAUGUCCACUGUUCCAUCGAUCACGUUUUAUACCUUUCCAUGGCUCAGUCUCCUUGUCCAGCCUUCGUGGUCUUUUUUGUGUGCAUGGCUACUGGCAGGCCAGCUUGAGCAGAUGGGGAAGGUGGCUGUAGGGAGAGGCCUGCUGGAGAGGGUUCGGGUAGCCUGGCAUAGGUCAUUGAUGUGACUGAUGGGGUGAUGGGAUGGUGUGAGAGAGGGCAGCUCCCGGGCCCCUCUGGAGAGAUGGGGGACAAUUUGGGUGUAGCACUGGCACCUCACUGGCCUCUGUAGGUGUUGGGGGGGCAUCCACUGAGAGCAGGGGCAGAACCACUCAUUCACCUUGAGGCUUCCUUCAUUUGGAAUCUAGAUAGGCCCCAUGCAGGAGGAUAAUAAGCAGCUCUGAUUGCUAUGAAUUGGAAUCGACUCAGCGGCACUGGGUUUGGGUGUUGGUUUAUAGGGAACCUUUUGGCCAGCAGGUUUCUAGGCCAGGGAAGGGGCUUUGUGGCAUUGUUCCCUGGGGGCCCAGCAGACAGCCUGGUCUUGUCCUCUAGCCAGCUCUGGCUGCAACCUUGAGGGGUUGCCCAGGCUUGUCCGGGGUGUGGCCAGGCCUAAACUAAAUGAGGUGCUUCUGCCUCUCCUCCCUCCGGAUGUCAUGGGAGAGUGACUAGCCUCAGCUUUCUCGAUUGGUGGCAAGGGACUUGAGAUUGAGUCAGGGGCCAGGGCUAAGGGUUGAGGGGCCACAGAAGCUGCUCCAACUGUCCAAGGAGCCAGGAGAGUUUCUGCAACUGCCUCCCUCCAUCAACAGUGCUUCCUGCAUGGGCUUCAUGUGCUUUGUCUUACUACCAGAUCCAGCCUCAGCAUGCCCCUCCCACAGAUCCAGGGAGAAGCUUGUUUGUCCUAGCAAGAUCACUCCUUCCUGCUUUGGGGAGGGGCAGGGCCCUGAACCCUGAAUGGAAUUAGCUGCCCCGCCCAUCUGGCUGUCUCUCCCUGGCUACCCAGGCUGAAUAGCGGCUUCUGGGGUGAGUGGGGGGUGACAUUCCCCAGAGGCGCCUGGAGACAGCAGCCUUUCAGGGCGGGGGGUGGGAGUGUCAUUUGAAUGAGAACUGGAUCCUUUCUGUUGCUUUGGGUUUGUCUGAACCUGGGCCCCAUUAGCCUAGCGCCAGCCGCCCUGGACGGUGGACUUGUGGAGAAGCUGUACUUGCUUCUUGGUGCUCCUCCUUUCUUCUGCAUCUGGUGGCUGCUAUUUACAUCCUCUUCUGGGUAUAUCCCUCCCACCCCUGACUCCCCAGGCUCUGGGGACUCCCUUGCUACCAGCUGCACUGUGGCCCUACCACCCUGCAUGCUCCUUGCCUUUGGCAGCUCUGCUUCCACCUACAAUGUGAGUACUGGGGAUGACGUGGGGGCCACACUCAGCCAACAGGGCUGGCCUAGCUUGUCCUCACUCUGCAUCUUCUCUCUCAGGCCUGUUUCCAGCGCCCAGUGUCCAAGACUUCCAGCCAGUCUGGGCCUCGUCCUUCCAGUUUUUAUGCUACUGUCACAGAUGGGUGAGGGGUCAGCUCUUUUCCAGAGAGCUAGUUUUUUUUAUUAGAGGAGGCGAAAUUUCCAGGCCUUUUGGUGGGGCGAGGUGAGGGAUACUCCUAGGACAUGUACUUAGGGCCUGCCCUCCCAGUCCAGGCUCCCAGAACCACUGCCCAGGAGAUGCCAGACAGCAUUUCCCCACCCAGUUGCUCAAGCGGCAGUUGCUACCCACCCCCUGGCAACCUGGUUGUUGUCCAUGGCCACAGCCUCUGAGCCUCAUCUACCUGUGGCCUCCAUGACCCUGAGCCCUACUGUGUUAUCAGCUGCCUACAGGUGGGGAGGAGGGUCAGGGCUCUUGAGACCGUCUUUGGAGUAUGGGGAUGGUAGUGUGGGUGUAUCCUGGAUGGGUUCACCCCUGUGAGGGUCAGAUCACUUUUGGAGGCUGGAGGGAGAGGGCUGCACUGUGAGAUUUUGGAGUGGGGACUGACCUUUUACUUCUUGCCCAGUCAGCCUGUUUGGGCCCUCCCAGGACUCUGAGAAUGCUUCUUCUGUGACUCUUGGGCUCAGCGAGGCCACAGUGUUUGAGAAUGUGAUCUCCCAAAGUGGCCAUGGUGACAAGAAGACCUGGUGGCAGGCAGAGAGUGGUGAGGGUGCCAGUGGGCCCCUGUGUGUGGGUCUGGGGUCUGGGGUCAGGGCUCAGUCCCUCUGAUCAGUUCUUGUGGCUGCAGGUGUCGAGAAUGUCACCAUCCAGCUGGACCUAGAAGGUGUCUUCUACUUUAUCUACCUUGUCAUGACUUUCAAAGUGACUCAGUGCCCCAACCUGAAGGCUUGCUAGGCAAGCUCUGAACCUUGUGGCCUCCCUACCUGAUGGCCACUAGUGACCCUUGCCCCUGAUGACGAAAGGGCUCCUUCUGUCCCCAGACAUUCCACCCAGCAGCUCUGCUCCUUGACGGCUUGGUGAACUAUGGCCAUUCCUGGCACGAUAUUUUGCCCACAACUGCUCAGGCCUCUUCUCUGGGAUCCCUCUUGCACCUGGCCACAGGGUCAGUGACCUCAUCUGUGACCAGCAUUACUUGCACAUCAAACCUUCCACUGAGGGUGAGGUCAGGCCCAGGGGGAAGGGGAGUAGGGCCUUGGGGUGAAGUCAGUCUUAGGCCUGCUUCUUCCCCUCAGGUAAUUUUCAAAGUUCUGGACCCAGGCAUUCGAGUAGAGGACCCAAACAGUCCCCAAAUUCAGCGUAAUCAUCCCCCAUAGCCAAUCCUGUACCCCUUACAUGUCAGGUUAGAGCUAGAUCCUGGGAGGAAGUGAGGCCCUACCUGGGGGCGUGCACCAGUGGGGCAGAGUGGGCUGGCAAGCCAGCUCAGUCCCGCAGCCUCAUCUCUUCAUCACCCGCACUGUCCCAUCACUGUCCCCUAUCAGGCUCCUCUAUUGUCAUGGCCCUCCAUCUCUGUCCCAUUAUUACUUCUUAUCUCUGCUCCCUAAUGUAAAGGGACUGGCAUGGGGAGCAAUCCCCACCGCUGUCCCUUACCUCUGCCCUAUUGCUGAACCACUCCAUGAGACCCCAUUACUGCUCCCCAUGCCAGCCCCCAUCACCAUCCCCCAUCUCUGCUCCCAUCACUGUCUCUCAUAACCUUCCACUUUGUGGGCCCCAUCCCCCAACACUGCUCCUCAUCACUGCCUCUGUUAUGGUCCACCUGUCGUUGCCCUCCUUUCAUUCAAAGCCUUGGUCUCUGUUGGUGCCCUUUGUCCCUGCAGCUGCCUCUAGGUGGCACCAAGGUAUCUUUGGAUUUGUCCCCUUCCCUGAAAAGCAGAAGUCUUUUGUUAAAGGACAAGAGAGCCACAUAACCAUAACCUGGCAGGGCAGCCGAGAGCCAGGCCAGGAGGGUACCAGAGCAGGAGGACAAACCCCAAACUAGCUUUUUCUUUACCUCUGCUGGGUGCUUUCCAGCCGACCCUAAGUCCCCAUGCUGGCAGCUGCUGCAUGUGCCUCUACUCGGGAGAGAGUGGAGGCCUGGCAGAGGAGAGAUGCAGGAGGUAGUCUCGGCUUGGUAACUAAAUUGAGCUGUGGAGCAGGGAGAGGAGCCCUGGACCUAUCUCUCCAUCCAUGUGUUCAUUUAACAAAUGCCCAUUUAGCCCUGCCCUAUGCCAGGCAUCAUCUGGGCAAUGAUCUGUGGGGAGCAGACAAGGUAUCUGUCUCCUUGGAGCUGAUGUGAAAGUGAGAAAGACAGUUGCUAAAUAAGCAAACAAAUACCUUAUGCCAUUUGGCUAGAUGAUGAGCCGAUUUCUAGUUUGGAUGACAGACUGGGGAGUGGAAUUCUUUAUUGCUUUGGGAAAGUAGGUUUGAGGUACCUGAAGACACCAGAAUGGGGUGUCCAAGAAGUAGUAGGAUGUGCAGGUCCCAGCCCAGUAGUGACAUUGGAAUGGGCAAAAGGGAUCUUCAGUACAGAGGUGGGAUUCUCACUGUGGGGAGGCUGUCAUCAUCCUGGGAGGGGAGGGUGUUCCUAGGGGCACAGGGAGCAAGGAGCCCCACAGCAUGGGUGCUGGAAUAGGCGGGCUACAAGGAAUGGGAGGAAAUUCUCCCAUUCCCCUCCAUCCCAUCCAUGGUAGGGUGAGGACCAAGGCACCUGAGGUCUGGCUGUAUGUCCCCAGAGCUCCUGUGCGUGAUCAACCUCCGUGUGAACUUCUCUAAACUGCACACAUUGGGUGACAGGCCCGUCCCGUAGGGGGCCUCAAGGGAUGACCUUUCUACUAUUAUGCUAUCUAUGAGCUUGUGGCCUGGGGCAGCUGCUUGUACCAUGGCCCUGCAUCCGAGUGCAGGCCCGCACAAGGGGCCCCAGCCAGCGUGGGAGGCAUGGUGAGAACCACGGGAGGGGCAUUUUAUGGCUGGUGGGGUGGCAGGCUGGAGGACUCAGGCAGACACAUCUUCCCCUCCUCCCUGCCAGGUACAUGGCCUCUGUGUCUGCUGCCACCACACAGCUGGUGCCAACUGUGAGCGCUGCCAAGAUCUGCACCAAGACCACCCAUGGCAUGCAGCAGAGCCUGGGCACCCCCAUGCCUGCCAGAGUAAAUGGCAUGCCCUAUUCUGCCUGGCCAUACCUGUCACAGGUCACCCCACCCCAUAUAUACCUCUUGUCUACCCCAAAAUGUGAGUGCCAUGGGCAUGCCCACAGCUGCCACUUUGACAUGGCCAUAUAUCUGGUGUCUGGCAAUGUGAGCGGAGGCGUAUUUGAUGCAUGUCAGCACAAUGCGGCUGGGCGCCAUUGUCAGCUCUGGCCGGCCCUUCUUCCACCGUGAUCCCCGGGAGGAUCCCCAUUCUCCUUUUUUGCUUUUGUGGAUCUGAGUCCUCUAACCCCUGAUUCCAACUCUGACCAUGAUCCUUCAGCUCCGUGGUGACCUCUGACCUAACUCUGUCCUCACUUCUGACCCCUGAAUAGCUUGCAACCGUGACCCUGUGGGUGCUCUGGAGGGGGAUUUGUAUGACACCCACACGGGUGAGACUCGUGGCCUUCUCUCUGGGCAGUGUCGCUGCAAAGGUCACAUCUGGGACCAACACUGUGACUCCUGUCAGCCUGGUCACUACGGCCUCAGCCCCACUCAAUCAGAGGGCUACCAGUGUGAGUGACCCUACGUCCUCCCUGUUCUGCCCCAAAUCACUGCCCUGAUGACACACGCAUCACCCCUAGCAGCCCCACUGGCCCCCUGAAAGCACCGUGCCUCAGCCUGCAGGUGUGACCCCUGCAGCCAGGUCCCUGGCACUCAUGCCUGUGAUCCCUCCAGCGGUGUCUGCCACUGGAAAUGCUUUGUCUCUGGACAGGACUGCAGCCGAUAUCUGGUGAGCCUUGACCCAUCCCCCAAUUUGAUUUUGAUGUUGGGUGCUGAGCUUCUAGGAGCUGACAAUUACAAAGCUAUGGUCAAUGUGACAAUGUAGCCUUGCUCAUGGGUGGGUGCCAAGGCCCUGAUCUGAUCACCAAGAUCAGUACUACCUUGGCUGACUGAACCAUCAUAUGCCCUCAGGAGAGAGCUUUGGGAGCAUAAGAAGAGAAGACGAUUAAAUAGGUCAUAACAGUAUUAGAUACUGGGUUUAAAGAUGUUUCAUUGUGAACACGUUUGGAGGAAGACUCAUUCCCAGGGACAGCGUGAUCCUCUUCUAGCCUCUCUUUGAGCACUAUGAACGCUUUGACUUUUGUUUAACCCUAGCUGCAUCCUUAUCUCUUUCUUUCCUCCUCUUAGUAAAGCUGUGCAGGGGUACACAAGAGUCUUCUUUCUCCCCCUCAGUUGCAGGCAGAGGAGCAUUCAAGUCCUGCCACUCACUCCCGCCCCUGCUCCCUUCCCACUCCUUAACCCCAACCCCUGUACCAGACAAUCCCGGUACAACACCCCUCCUUACAGGAGGCAGGUCCUAUCCAGAUCUCAUUGCCUGUCCUCCCCCCACAACCAGCCACUCUCCUGCAGCCGGAAUUCUGGGGUCUGAGCAGUGACCCCCCAGGCUCCUGGCCCUGUGACUGUGACUUUGGGGGUGACUACAGCAACAGGUACAGGGCAGGACUUGAGGGUCAAGGGUCAGACAGCGGGGAUCAGGAGUUGACUUGGCCCGCUCAUCCGUCUCCAUCCUCUCUCAGGUAUUCUGCAGGAGAGGGCCUCUGCCUGUGCCGCCCUCACCUCCAUGGCCACCACUGCCAUGAACGUCAAUCUGGGCAUUUCUGCACUCUCCUGGACGAGGCCAUGACUGAGGCUGAGCUUAGCCAGGAUCUCUAGUCGGCCAAUCCCCGACUGCCUGGAGCCUCCUGGCCAACCUCUCCCCACUGUAUAUGAGCCCCAGGGACCUCUGCUGGCUGGCUUCAGCUUCGGCCUCAGAGACAGCAUAACCCUUGAUGUGCCUUCCACCCUGCCUGGCAAGCCCAUCACAGCCGCCAGCUGCCCAAGGGCUGUGGCUCUAUCCAGACCUUUCUGCUCUGAGCCUGGAACACACUACUCCAUGAUCCUGCGGCUGUGGCAGACCAAGGGUGUUUAGAGGCCUGCAAGAGGUUGUGUUCCUGCCUCGGGUAGAAGAGUUGCCUGGACUGCGGUCCAUGGACCCCAGGGCCAUGCAGCACCUGCAGGAGCUUCGCAAGGCAGGCUGCAUGGAAGCAGCGAGGAAGGGCCCCUCCAGCACUAUGCCUGCAGCCUGCACCCACCUGGUCUGCAGCAUCUCAGCCUUGCUCCAUGGAGGUGGCCUUGGUGAGUGUGCACCCCUUAGUGAAGGGGCUGCGGGGGUACCAUGAGGUUCAUCUUGUCUUCCUGUUUCUCCUGCCAGCAUGUGAGUGCCACCCUCUGGGUUCAUUGAGCACUGAGUGUGCCCUGCUGGGUGGACAGUGUCCCUGCUGUCCCCACGUUGUUGGUCGUACCUGUGACCAUUGUGUGCCUGGGACAUAUGGCUUUGGGCCCACUGGCUGUAGUGGUGAGUCUUCAGGGCCAGUGGGUGUGAGGGGCAUGGCUUGAGCACCCUGCUACUCCCCACAGAAUGCUGCUGCCAUGCUGAGGGUGCCACCAGUGCCAUCUGCAACCCUCUAAGUGGGCAGUGCACAUGCUGGGCAGGCCUUGCCGGUCAUCGCUGUGACCGCUGCCUCCCUGGCUGGUGGGGAUUCCCACAUUGCCAGCCGUGUGCCUGCAAUGGGCAUGCUGAGUUGUGCCGUCCUCUUACGGGCAUCUGCCAGGCCUGCCAGGGGGCCACCACUGGCUGGCACUGUGAGAGGUGAGCGCUGCCACUGGGAGGAUUGGGCAGGAGUUAUGAUGAGUGGGCCAGCCCCACCCCAAGUGCUUCUGCCCCCAGGUGCCUGGACAGCUACUAUGGAGACUCCAUCCUGGGCUCAGGCCAGCAGUGCAGGCCCUGCCCCUGUCCUGGGCACCCUGGCUCUGGCCUCUAUCAUGGGAGUUCCUGCCACGUGGACAAUGUGAAUGGGCGUGUCCUGUGCCUCUGCGCACCUGGCUAUGCAGGUCCCCACUGUGACCGCUGUUCCUCCGUCUACUUCGGGCACCCUUGGCCAGAAGGGAACCCCAGAAGGAGUCCAUCUGUGCUAGCCCUGCCAGUGCAACAACAAUAUCGAUCCCCAUGACCCCGCCACCUGCAACCCCCACAGCGGACGAUGCCACCAUAGCCAUGGCCCUGGCUGUGCCCACUGCAGGCCUGGCUUCCAUGGCAGUGCCCUGUGCCCAGGGGGCUGCCAGGGUGAGUGUGUGGGUGGGAGCGUCCCAGGAUGGGGGGGUAGGUUCUCCCCUCCACAGAGCCUGCCAAGUCUUCCCUUCCCUCAGGCUGCAGCUGUGAUCCCUGGGGCACUGUUCCUGUAUGGUGCCCAGCUGGGGCCAAAGCCUGCUUCUGCAACCAGGUCAGCAGGCAGUGCCCCUGCUGCCCUCACACACUGGGGUGAGACUGCAAAUGCUGUGCUCCCCUCUUCUGGAACCUGGAGGACCCCCGGGGCUGGGAACCCUGUGGCUGCCAUACCCAGCAGACUUUGCAGCUGGGGUGUCACUUAGUGAGUGAGCCCAGUGGCACAUAGCAUGUGGCAGUGCCUGGGUGUGAGUGAACGUGUGCAUACCUAUGACAAGGUGUGACUUAUGGCUGAUGUGAGUGUCCCUGUGACUACCAGCACUAUGUGUAGCUACAAACAGCUGUGUGAGUCUGCGCUCCUGUGUGAAUUAACUGUGAGCAGGUGGUAGGGCCUGGGGGAAAGUGGAUAUGAGACUGCGUGUGCCUGAACCCAUGUGCAGCAGUGCGUUAGUGUGUGUGUAAACCGCUGUGACAGAGUCAUGGCCAGCGGAGUGAGCAUGGCAGGGGUGGGGGCUGGGGGGGAAGCUGAGGAGGCACAGCAGAAGGGGGUGGCCACGGAAGGUGAGUGUUUCCAGGAGGGUGGGUGGCCCCUGUGUGAAAUGAGGACUGAAGCCUGUUCUUGGGUCCUCGGCGAGGAGGGGGGCGGGAGUCAGAUCCAAGAGUUGAGGGAAGCAUGGGGGUGAGGGCUUGGGAUAGUGGGGCGCAUGGCUUACAACAUAGAGAAACAAAGGGCAGCAGGCCAAGAGAAAAGACAUACCCAGGCAGUGCAAAGUAAGGGUUGGCAAUGAGGGAAGGUGGGAAGUGGCUGAGGGAGCCAGGCCAGAGGAAGUCUUCAGGCAGGGAGAAGCCCUUAGCCAAGGGCAAGUAUGGGUGCUUCUUGGGGUAGGAGCGGGACUGGGAGAAGACAGCGCAUGUGGUGUAUGCAUGCCACCUCUGAGCACUUGUGUGCCCCCUCCCCCCGCAAGUUGGCCCUGGUGACUGGCCUGUGCUCUCUUCCUCCAGGUCACAGGUCAGCACCUCUGCUGGGCAGGAUUUGGGGGCCGCAUGUGCUCUUAGUGUCAGGAUGGGUAUUGGGGUGACCCAGGCCAGGAGUGCAGAGGUGAGAGAGCGCUCACACAGUCCACCACCAGGGACGAGGCUGUCCUGCAGGGGGAAUUGUGGGGAAAUAGUUGGGGUUUUCCUGAAGAAGAAUACAACAUGUUUAUUGUGUUCCCCCCAAAACUUAAAUACUCAUGAAAACGACUGUAGGGAGACAGCAUUGGCAAGGCCAGACUGGGGAUACCCACAGAGAGGAUACCUUGGGUGGCUCUUUCCUGACUGCCCCCUGCCAUCCCUGACCCUGGCUGACCCCUGGCUAGACUGUAGAGGCUCUGGAGACUUGUGCUGUUUCCCCAUAAAAAGGCUGCUGUACAGUACAGCCCCUCAGCCAGGGUGGGUGGCAGUGCUCAUGGCAGAUCUAAGCAGUGGCUCAGGCCAGGGCUAGUGUGCGCCCCCACACUCACACAGGGGCCUCAUAAUCCUUCAGUCACCUAGAGGUGAGCCUGGGGCAAGUGUCGUCUCUCCCUGCCCUGACCUGUCUCUUCCCCACAGCCUGCGCCUGUGACCCACAGGGCUCCAUCUCACCCAGUUGUGACCCGCACACGGGCGCCUUCCUUUGCAGAGAUGGCAUCUCAGGGCUGAGGUGCUGGGUGUGUGCCCAUACUUCCAGAGGUGGCUUCCCACGUUGCAUAUCCUGCCGUACUUGCUUCACCCCCUGGAAUCAACAGCUGGCUCUGCUUUAGCCGCAGCUGAAAGCUGUGGCCCAGGAGGCAGCUGUCCUACACAAGGGGAUGCCUGGCUGGGGGCCUGGGGGCCAUGGUGGAUGCCUGCAAGCCCUGGAGGGGGUACUACAGCAGACACAGGCACUUCUGGAGAUUCCCUCUCUCCCUCUGUGGGAACCCUGCAGCAACUUACAGAGUGGACAGCUGGACCCAGGCAAGGGAUCUGGAGUCAGCAGGGAGGGAAUCCCUUGCAGCUUUCCAAGAUCAGGGAUUCACAGGGUCACAGGUUGGCCUGAGUUCUGGGUCUGGGAGUCAUGUGGGUUUCCUUGAGCAAAGGAUCUUGGAGCAGUGGGCAUCUCUGGCCAGACUGAUGCCCGAUCUCCCUACAGGAGGGAAUUGACUUCAUUGGCCCAGACACUGCAGGCCACAGAACAGGUUGUGGCCGACUAUAGUCUGUGGGUCAGGAAGCAACGUGAACACCUGGAAGCAUUAUCCUGGGAGCUAGACUGUGUCAAGGACUUGGCCUGGACCAAAAGGGCCGUAGGAGCCCAAGAUGCUGGGGCCCAGGCCUCCUCCGCUGCCCUGCUUUCCCAGGAGGCCAUACUCAGAGCUCAGGCUGUGGCCACAUUAGGACAACCAGACAGCAUCCUGGGGCAGGCCCGAGAGGCCCAGCAGUGGACAGAGCAGCUGCUUUGGGGGACGGGCCAGCUGACAAGGACACCUCUGUGGGGGCUGAAACUGAAGGGGCUGGUCAGCAAGUUCCAGAUGCUGCACCUGCAGCUGCUGGGGCUUUCUGUCAGAGCUGGAGUGGUGGGUGGGGAUGUAUAUCACAGUUGGGGGGUUGCCAAGGCAAGAACUCUCUUACAGGGGUAUCCUGAGUGUAGGGCAACAGGGGCUCUGGGACGUACACUCCUCACUGGGUUCCUCAUCUCGCUUGCAGGAAUGCAGGGGUCGGGGACUUGGGCUGGCUGUGUUCCUGCACUCUGUGGGGUUCCCACUUGCCCUGGGGCCCUGCCCAAGGCCCAGUGGGCUCUGGUUGCCUCCUGGAACUCCUCCCACAGCCUGGACAUAGUAGUCCCAGCCUUGGAGCAGCAUCAGCAACUGGUUCAGAGUCAUAGAGGCCAUGGGUGGAAGCCAUGGGGCAAGUCACAGAGGACCAUGGCUUGGCCACAGGGUGGCAGGAGACACAUUCCACUUGUGACUCAUCCCUACCAGCUGCAGCAAAUCCAGGCCACAGUAACCCCCUCAGAAACUCAGGCACAGAAGACAUGGCAUCAUGCAAGAGGGCCCUGAGGCAUGGCUGCCAUGGCCCAUGUGCAAGGGACUGUGCAGGCCAUCCAGCGCUUCCUCAUGAGUAUAUGUCUGCUUGUCACAUUUCUGUUCACAGCUGAGGGCAAGGGCAGGUGGGCAUCCAGGACACUGCCGUGGUACUCCUUCCAGAAUGAUGAAUACUCAUAAAGGGUGACCAGGGGUCAGGUGGAAGCACUGGUGUGCUGGUAAUGUUUUUAACAACUGGCAGGAAAUCAAGGGGAACUGAUUUGUAGCAUUUUUCCAAUUUCCAUGGUGUAAACAAUCCCACCAUGACUGAUUUCAAUCUGGAAACCCUGGUGGCAUAGUGGUUAAGUGCUACAGCUCCUAACCAAAAGGUCAGCAGUUCAGAUCCACCAGGCGCUCCUUGGAAACUCUAUGGGGCAGUUCUGCUCUGUCCUAUUGGGUCGCUAUGAGUCGGAAUUAACUUGACGGCAAUGGGUUUGGUAUUUUUGGUUACUAUUUAAUGACCGUUUUGCAAAAUUCCUGAAGAUCUAACAAUUGACCGUUGCAAGCCUCCAGCACACCGUUGGACAAGAGUGUCAGGGACAGAGUCAAUGAGAGGCCAGGGUCAAGGGUUGUUGGGUCAGGGAUCAGGGCUCAGGUCCUACCCUACUCCCCACAGACAAAGGUGCGAAUGUUUUGAGUGUAGAGCUGGUGGUGUGGCAUGUGCUGGCAGUGCCCCACCCCCAAUGCGGGGCUGUAGGUGUUACCCUCCUGCUGGAGCAGAUCUAUGGUUACCUCUGUGCACCAGAUGCUGUGGGCCAGGAGCUGCCCAGAGCUGAAGGCAUCCUCCAUCAGGCACAGCAGAUCAAGCGAAGGGCCAGGAGGCUGGAGGUAGAAGUCAGAGGGUGGGGAGGGAAGGGAUACCCAAUUGAGGAUCUGUAUCUUUCAGAGAGGGCACAGCCAAGGCCCGGGACCAAGUGCUGAACGUUCUGGGGGCACUAGCUGAGGUGGGAAGUCACACGGAAGCUGCAGAACAAGGGCUCUGGGCAGCAAAGCAGGCACUUUGAGGCCUGGAGGCCAGUGUGCAGGAGGUGAUACCCUACCAGAACCCCUUUGGUCCUUCAUACCUCUUGUUCAAUGGGUAUAGUGAUUCCCAUUCCCCCCUGAGAUCCUUGAUCCACUGUUAUGCUAUGGUGCUACUGAAUACCCUGACCAUGCAAACACUCAACCUAGUUGCUACCGUGCUGUGACCUCUCUGUGACCCCCCCGAACUUUGCUCCAGAUGGCAGGGCACCAGACUGAGAUGGCGGUGGCGUGGAUGUGGCCCCGGUCCUGGGGCGUGUGUCCAGUGCAGCUGAGGCCCUGAGGAUGCAUUUGGCCCUUAGAGGAAUGCCCAGGAGGCAGAAGAACAGGCAGCAAGGGCCACAGGCACGGCUGGGGGCCUGGGCAAGGUGACGUAGGGAACAGUGGGUGUUGAGGCCUCGGGCACUCCUCUGGAAUAGUGGGAGGUGCAAUUUAGGCUGGGGCCGGGAUAGGCUGGGUUGAGGCAGGAACUUAGUUCCAAAACUCCCUACCCCCCAGGAACCUCGGGCCUCAGUGGGGUGGGGUUUUAUGUCCAGCCUUUCUUCUAGGAGUUGCAGGUGGCCUGGGUUGGGUGUGACAGAGUUGCUGGAGGGCGUUCUUGGCCUGGUCACCACGGUGCAGAAUGUGGGAGAGCUGGUGCAGCGGGCACAAGCUGAGGCCCAGGAACUGCUGAAGCAAGCACAGAGCACCUGGACCCAUCUGGAGGGUGCUUGGCUGGGCCGUAGUAGGAGACAUAGGAGCAGAGCAGGCAGGGGGUGCGGGGGGCAUGGGGGUCAGCAUGGGGUCUAGGUCAGUUCCAGACUCAUGGAGGGAUCAGGGCUGGGGCCAAAAUUCAGAACAGGGGUCAGGUGUUGAUUAGGAUCAGGGCUGGCUUAGGGCUGGUGCUACAGUCAGGGCCAAGGUCAUGAAAGGGAUGAGGGCUAGAGUCAGAACCUUGCUCAGGCAGCCUGGUCUCCAGGGUUGGAGUAUCGCCUGGCGCAGAAGGAGCAGGCACUGGGCAAGAAGGCAGCCACCCUUUGGGCCCUGGAGCAGCAGGCAGCAGAGCUGCUUGAGUACAUGCGACUAGGUGCCAACACCUAUGGUGCCUGCUGACUGCCAUCAGUGGAUGCUGGCAAGAGGAACCCUGGAAUCACCUGGGUAAUUCAAAGUCAUGCCAGACUGAUUCAGGAAUCCCCUGACCUUGAAAGACCAGAGAGUGCCCCCUGAAUGCCUGCUGACCCUGAAUGACUGACCCAUGUGUGACCUCAUGGUAUCUUCCAGUGAGCCUCUGACCUUGAGAAACAAGAAAGAUCAUGUAACUUUGCGAACCAGUGAAGCCAUCCAGUGCCCCUGUCCCUAAUACACUUUUAUCUCUGAGUGACCUCCUAAAAGUCUGAGUCACCUCUAGUAUUGCUGAACUUCUCAGUUUAACUACAGGAUUCCCAGGGUAGCCGGAUACUCCUACUCCAGAUGACUGGAGUAACUCCAAGUAACCCUGAAAGUCCAGCAGAUUGACAUCCUGUUUCCUGGCUCGUUUUGUGAAGGCCAGAUGAUUCUCCUGAGGAAACCCCAGUUUUCUUCCCUGGCCCGCAGC
This is a long non-coding RNA of Loxodonta africana (African savanna elephant), 13527 nucleotides long. RefSeq lists it as uncharacterized. The record is from RefSeq and is a predicted model, not a curated record. The transcript has 6 exons. NCBI's taxonomy places the organism in Eukaryota, Metazoa, Chordata, Mammalia, Proboscidea, Elephantidae.